This 496-nucleotide ribosomal RNA is filed under the name uncultured bacterium. RNAcentral describes it as "partial 16S ribosomal RNA". It matches the Rfam family "Bacterial small subunit ribosomal RNA", at positions 30 to 523 of the family's 1533-position model. The record is from RNAcentral.
AUUGAACGCUGGCGGCAUGCCUUACACAUGCAAGUCGAACGGUAGAGGUAGCAAUACCUUGAGAGUGGCGAACGGGUGAGUAAUACAUCGGAACAUGCCCAACUGUGGGGGAUAACGUAGCGAAAGUUACGCUAAUACCGCAUACGAUCUACGGAUGAAAGCGGGGGACCGUAAGGCCUCGCGCAGUUGGAGUGGCUGAUGCCAGAUUAGCUAGUUGGUGGGGUAAAAGCCUACCAAGGCAACGAUCUGUAGCUGGUCUGAGAGGACGACCAGCCACACUAGGACUGAGACACGGCCCAGACUCCUACGGGAGGCAGCAGUGGGGAAUUUUGGACAAUGGACGAAAGUCUGAUCCAGCAAUGCCGCGUGCAGGACGAAGGCCUUCGGGUUGUAAACUGCUUUUGUACGGAGCGAAAAAGUCUUCUUUAAUACAGAGGGCUCAUGACGGUACCGUAAGAAUAAGCACCGGCUAACUACGUGCCAGCAGCCGCCGUAA